RNAcentral lists this non-coding RNA (28 nucleotides) under Rattus norvegicus (Norway rat). The record is from RNAcentral. Lineage: Eukaryota; Metazoa; Chordata; Mammalia; Rodentia; Muridae.
UGGUCCCAGCUCCAGAUUUGUUUGUCUA